CAGCAGCCGCGGUAAUACGUAGGUGGCAAGCGUUGUCCGGAAUUAUUGGGCGUAAAGCGCGCGCAGGUGGUUUAAUAAGUCUGAUGUGAAAGCCCACGGCUCAACCGUGGAGGGUCAUUGGAAACUGUUAAACUUGAGUGCAGGAGAGAAAAGUGGAAUUCCUAGUGUAGCGGUGAGAUGCGUAGAGAUUAGGUGGAACACCAGUGGCGAAGGCGGCUUUUUGGCCUGUAACUGACACUGAGGCGCGAAAGCGUGGGGAGCAAACAGGAUUAGAUACCCGUGUAGUCCCUGUCUCUUAUAC
This 301-nucleotide ribosomal RNA is filed under the name uncultured bacterium. Its description in RNAcentral is "partial 16S ribosomal RNA". It matches the Rfam family "Bacterial small subunit ribosomal RNA", at positions 509 to 807 of the family's 1533-position model. The record is from RNAcentral.